GCUCAACCGAGGAAGUGCUUCGAAAACUGGUAAACUUGAGUGCAGAAGAGGAAAGUGGAACUCCAUGUGUAGCGGUGGAAUGCGUAGAUAUAUGGAAGAACACCAGUGGCGAAGGCGGCUUUCUGGUCUGUAACUGACGCUGAGAUUCGAAAGCAUGUGUAGCAAACAGGAUUAGAUACCCUGGUAGUCCAUGCCGUAAACGAUGAGUGCUAAGUGUUGGAGGGUUUCCGCCCUUCAGUGCUGCAGCUAACGCAUUAAGCACUCCGCCUGGGGAGUACGAUCGCAAGAUUGAAACUCAAAGGAAUUGACGGGGGCCCGCACAAGCGGUGGAGCAUGUGGUUUAAUUCGAAGCAACGCGAAGAACCUUACCAGGUCUUGACAUACCAUGAAAAGCUAAGAGAUUAGUCUUUCCCUUCGGGGACAUGGAUACAGGUGGUGCAUGGUUGUCGUCAGCUCGUGUCGUGAGAUGUUGGGUUAAGUCCCGCAACGAGCGCAACCCUUAUUAUCAGUUGCCAGCAUUCAGUUGGGCACUCUGGUGAGACUGCCGGUGACAAACCGGAGGAAGGUGGGGACGACGUCAAAUCAUCAUGCCCCUUAUGACCUGGGCUACACACGUGCUACAAUGGUCGGUACAACG
Molecule: ribosomal RNA, 637 nt
Filed under: uncultured bacterium
Lineage: Bacteria
Description: bacterial SSU rRNA
Rfam family: Bacterial small subunit ribosomal RNA
Source: RNAcentral